CACGUAGGGGGCGAGCGUUGUCCGGAUUUACUGGGCGUAAAGGGUGAGUAGGCGGUUAUAUAUGUCAGGUGUAAAAGGCUAUGGCUUAACCAUGGUUAGCACUUGAAACUGUAUGACUUGAGUGCAGGAGAGGUAAGUGGAAUUCCUAGUGUAGCGGUGAAAUGCGUAGAUAUUAGGAGGAACACCAGUGGCGAAGGCGACUUACUGGACUGUAACUGACGCUGAGUCACGAAAGCGUGGGUAGCAAACAGGAUUAGAUACCCCCGUAGUCCU
RNAcentral lists this ribosomal RNA (273 nucleotides) under uncultured prokaryote. Its description in RNAcentral is "partial 16S ribosomal RNA". It matches the Rfam family "Bacterial small subunit ribosomal RNA", at positions 524 to 797 of the family's 1533-position model. The record is from RNAcentral.